This 399-nucleotide ribosomal RNA is filed under the name uncultured bacterium. RNAcentral's name for it is "bacterial SSU rRNA". It matches the Rfam family "Bacterial small subunit ribosomal RNA", at positions 30 to 428 of the family's 1533-position model. The record is from RNAcentral.
AUUGAACGCUGGCGGCAGGCCUAACACAUGCAAGUCGAGCGGAUGAGUGGAGCUUGCUCCAUGAUUCAGCGGCGGACGGGUGAGUAAUGCCUAGGAAUCUGCCUGGUAGUGGGGGACAACGUUUCGAAAGGAACGCUAAUACCGCAUACGUCCUACGGGAGAAAGUGGGGGAGUCUUCGGACCUCACGCUAUCAGAUGAGCCUAGGUCGGAUUAGCUAGUUGGUGAGGUAAAGGCUCACCAAGGCGACGAUCCGUAACUGGUCUGAGAGGAUGAUCAGUCACACUGGAACUGAGACACGGUCCAGACUCCUACGGGAGGCAGCAGUGGGGAAUAUUGGACAAUGGGCGAAAGCCUGAUCCAGCCAUGCCGCGUGUGUGAAGAAGGUCUUCGGAUUGUAA